RNAcentral lists this non-coding RNA (27 nucleotides) under Mus musculus (house mouse). Lineage: Eukaryota; Metazoa; Chordata; Mammalia; Rodentia; Muridae. The record is from RNAcentral.
UACCGUGAUUGAUGUGAAAGCCUCCAU